UUUAUUCUCGCCUGGUAGACGCCAACUUGAACAUGUGCUUCAAGUUUCAAAGAUUUCACCAAGGUUUAAGAAUUUGACCAGAAGUGGACCAAAACAUAGCGAGUGUUGGUUGUUUACAUCUGUGGGACAGACCUCAGCCUUUGAUAAACGAAAUACCAAGCAAAAUAACAACAGCUUGAUAUGAAUGAAAGCUGAAUAGAUGCCACUGAUGGACAUGAUUCUAAUGAACCAGCAUUGGAGGAGGAGACAUGACAGCUAUACCCGCAGUUUGCUACUGUGGUCCUCUGAAAUAGAAGUCUAGACUGUCCCUCUGUUAUUUUAUCUGAAGAGAUGGAAGGGAAUGGUGGAAAUCUCUGACAAGUGAGGAUGAAAAUGCAAGCAACGGUGGUCAUGGUGACAAAAAUGGCAGAAGAGACCAAAGAUUUGGAAGAAGUGAUAAGAG
RNAcentral lists this long non-coding RNA (442 nucleotides) under Lingula anatina. RNAcentral's name for it is "uncharacterized LOC106174358, transcript variant X2". The record is from RNAcentral. Lineage: Eukaryota; Metazoa; Brachiopoda; Lingulata; Lingulida; Lingulidae.